Molecule: long non-coding RNA, 510 nt
Filed under: Homo sapiens (human)
Lineage: Eukaryota; Metazoa; Chordata; Mammalia; Primates; Hominidae
Description: HSALNT0296861
Source: RNAcentral
CUGGGAACUCGAGUCUGCCCUGCUUCACAGCUCUUGUUCCUGCACAAGUGUCUCCGGAGAGGCUGGGGUACAUCAGAACCUCCAGAGGAGGGGACUUGGGAGCUUGAUGUUUAAAAAAGCAACACAGGCAUGUGCAAUGGAGAACUGAAUUGGAAGCUUCUGCCUGUGGCUUUUUUUUUUUUUUUUUUUUUUUUGAGAUGGAGUCUUGUUCUGUCGCCUAGGCUGGAGUGCAGUGGUGGAAUCUUGGCUCACUGCAACCUCUGCCUCCCAGGAUCAAGCAAUUCUCCUUCCUUAGCCUCCUGCGUAGCUGGGAUUACAGGCAUGUGCCACCACACUCAGCUAAUUUUUUUGUAUUUUUAGUAGAGACGGGGUUUUACCAUGUUGGCCAGGCUGGUCUCAAACUCCUGAACUUAUGUGAUUUGCCUGCCUUGGCCACCCAAAGUGCUGGGAUUACAGGCAUGAGCCACCGCGCCUGGCCUGCCUGUGGCUUUAUUGAAGGCCUUAGUGGGG